Molecule: ribosomal RNA, 467 nt
Filed under: uncultured bacterium
Lineage: Bacteria
Description: partial 16S ribosomal RNA
Rfam family: Bacterial small subunit ribosomal RNA
Source: RNAcentral
GACGAACGCUGGCGGCGUGCUUAACACAUGCAAGUCGAACGGAAAGGCCUCUUUCGGGGGGUACUCGAGUGGCGAACGGGUGAGUAACACGUGAGUAACCUGCCCUUGACUUUGGGAUAACUUCAGGAAACUGGGGCUAAUACCGGAUAGGAGCUCCUGCUGCAUGGUGGGGGUUGGAAAGUUUCGGCGGUUGGGGAUGGACUCGCGGCUUAUCAGCUUGUUGGUGGGGUAGUGGCUUACCAAGGCUUUGACGGGUAGCCGGCCUGAGAGGGUGACCGGCCACAUUGGGACUGAGAGACGGCCCAGACUCCUACGGGAGGAAGCAGUGGGGAAGAUUGCACAAUGGGUGGAAGCCUGAUGCAGCAACGCCGUGUGCGGGAUGACGGCCUUCGGGUUGUAAACCGCUUUCGCUCAUGACGAAGCUUUGUGUGACGGUAGUGGGUAAAGAAGCACCGGCUAACUACGUG